RNAcentral lists this ribosomal RNA (572 nucleotides) under uncultured Glomeromycotina. Its description in RNAcentral is "SSU rRNA". It matches the Rfam family "Eukaryotic small subunit ribosomal RNA", at positions 548 to 1114 of the family's 1831-position model. Lineage: Eukaryota; Fungi; Glomeromycota. The record is from RNAcentral.
UUGGAGGGCAAGUCUGGUGCCAGCAGCCGCGGUAAUUCCAGCUCCAAUAGCGUACAUUAAAGUUGUUGCAGUUAAAAAGCUCGUAGUUGAAUUUCGGGAUUGACGUGAUGGUCAUGCCUUAAGGGGUAUGAACUGUUACAGUUGAUUUCUCACCUUCUGGAGAAACUUGAUGUCCUUUAUUGGGUGUCUUGCGGAUCCAGGACCUUUACCUUGAAAAAAUUAGAGUGUUUAAAGCAGGCAUUUUUGCUCGAAUACAUUAGCAUGGAAUAAUAGAAUAGGACGGCAUGGUUCUAUUUUGUUGGUUUCUAGGAUCACCGUAAUGAUUAAUAGGGAUAGUUGGGGGCAUUAGUAUUCAAUUGUCAGAGGUGAAAUUCUUGGAUUUAUUGAAGACUAACUACUGCGAAAGCAUUUGCCAAGGAUGUUUUCAUUAAUCAAGAACGAAAGUUAGGGGAUCGAAGACGAUCAGAUACCGUCGUAGUCUUAACCAUAAACUAUGCCGACUAGGAAUCAGACGAUGUUAAUUUUUUAAUGACUCGUUUGGCACCUUACGGGAAACCAAAGUGUUUGGGUUC